ACUCCUACGGGAGGCAGCAGUGGGGAAUAUUGCACAAUGGGCGCAAGCCUGAUGCAGCCAUGCCGCGUGUAUGAAGAAGGCCUUCGGGUUGUAAAGUACUUUCAGCAGUGAGGAAGGUUCAUACGUUAAUAGCGUAUGGAUUUGACGUUAGCUGCAGAAGAAGCACCGGCUAACUCCGUGCCAGCAGCCGCGGUAAUACGGAGGGUGCGAGCGUUAAUCGGAAUUACUGGGCGUAAAGCGCAUGCAGGUGGUUUGUUAAGUCAGAUGUGAAAGCCCGGGGCUCAACCUCGGAAUUGCAUUUGAAACUGGCAGACUAGAGUACUGUAGAGGGGGGUAGAAUUUCAGGUGUAGCGGUGAAAUGCGUAGAGAUCUGAAGGAAUACCGGUGGCGAAGGCGGCCCCCUGGACAGAUACUGACACUCAGAUGCGAAAGCGUGGGGAGCAAACAGGAUUAGAUACCCUGGUAGGAUAGCG
Molecule: ribosomal RNA, 473 nt
Filed under: uncultured bacterium
Lineage: Bacteria
Description: bacterial SSU rRNA
Rfam family: Bacterial small subunit ribosomal RNA
Source: RNAcentral